This 510-nucleotide ribosomal RNA is filed under the name uncultured bacterium. RNAcentral's name for it is "bacterial SSU rRNA". It matches the Rfam family "Bacterial small subunit ribosomal RNA", at positions 29 to 531 of the family's 1533-position model. The record is from RNAcentral.
AACGAGCGCUGGCGGCGCGCCUAACACAUGCAAGUCGAACGAGAAUCCGGGGCAACCCGGUAGUAAAGUGGCAAACGGGUGAGGAAUACAUGGGUAACCUACCCUUGAGAAGGGAAUAACCCGCCGAAAGGUGAGCUAAUACCCUAUACGCUAUCUUUUUUUCGAAAAGGAUAGGAAAGCCGGGUCGAGGACCUGGUACUCAAGGAGGGGCUCAUGUCCUAUCAGCUUGUUGGUGGGGUAACGGCCUACCAAGGCUACGACGGGUAGCUGGUCUGAGAGGAUGAUCAGCCACACUGGCACUCAGAUACGGGCCAGACUCCUACGGGAGGCAGCAGUGAGGAAUAUUGCGCAAUGGGCGAAAGCCUGACGCAGCGACGCCGCGUGGGGGAUGAAGGUUUUCGGAUUGUAAACCCCUUUCAUGAGGAAAGAUAAAGUGGGUAACCACUUAGACGGUACCUCAAGAAGAAGCCACGGCUAACUUCGUGCCAGCAGCCGCGGUAAAGUCACAUG